AUGAACCUGCUCAGAGUGGAGAACAAGGAGCACAUGCAUGCCCAAAGAUGCAGGUCACUACGCCUGCCUCGCCACCAGCUUGCUUGGUUCAAGUGCAGUUUGUUCUUCUCUGUUGACAAGCCAAGUGGACAUUGCAGUUUCCCUCAUCCUGCUGAAGAUCCCUUGGCAAGAGUGAUGGAGAAGCAGAGACUCCAAAGCCAGGAUCUGGCUGCAGACUGCUCAUUCAAGGAGAGCAUCCUGCUUUGCACUGGAACAAGAAGUCUCCCCAGCUCUGAUCCAGAAUUUGAGGAUCCAGAGGGUAGAGCCUGCUGCCAGGCACUGCGAGCCCAGCCCAGCCAGUCCCGUGUCUAGCAUGGUAUCUGUGGAUCCAGCAGAGCUGCCUGGGGACUUACAGCUUACUCAUCACGAAUGCAGACAUCAGCAUGAGAGCCCUAAACCAAGGGCUCC
Molecule: long non-coding RNA, 447 nt
Filed under: Phasianus colchicus (ring-necked pheasant)
Lineage: Eukaryota; Metazoa; Chordata; Aves; Galliformes; Phasianidae
Description: lncRNA (ENSPCLG00000012343.1)
Source: RNAcentral